RNAcentral lists this ribosomal RNA (489 nucleotides) under uncultured bacterium. Its description in RNAcentral is "bacterial SSU rRNA". It matches the Rfam family "Bacterial small subunit ribosomal RNA", at positions 45 to 514 of the family's 1533-position model. The record is from RNAcentral.
UGGAUUAGGCAUGCAUGUCGAGCGAGAACGGGGAGCAUCCCUUAGUACAGCGGCACACGGGUCAGUAAUGCGUGGAUAACUUGCCCUCGAGACUUGGGAUAACGGCGGGAAACUUGCCGCUAAUACCGGAUGGCCUCGCGAACCGGCAUCGGAUUGUGAGUAAAGGUGGGGACCGAAAGGCCUGCUGCUCGAGGAGAGGUUCACGACCUAUCAGCUAGUUGGUGAGGUAACGGCUCACCAAGGCGACGACGGGUAGGCGGGCUGAGAGGCUGACCGCCGACACUGGGACUGAGAACUGCCCAGACUCCUACGGGAGGCUGCAGUCGAGAAUCUUCCACAAUGGACGCAAGUCUGAUGGAGCGACGCCGCGUGUGGGAUGAAGGUCUUUGGAUUGUAAACCACUGUCACGCGUUAUGAAUGCGCAGCAGUCAAUACCUGCUGCGUUGACAAAGGCGCGAGAGGAAGUCACGGCUAACUCUGUGCCAGCAG